Molecule: ribosomal RNA, 497 nt
Filed under: uncultured organism
Description: SSU rRNA
Rfam family: Bacterial small subunit ribosomal RNA
Source: RNAcentral
CCUGGCUCAGGAUGAACGCUAGCGGCAGGCUUAACACAUGCAAGUCGAGGGGCAGCGCGUUGUAGCAAUACGAUGGCGGCGACCGGCGAAAGGGUGCGUAACGCGUGAGCAACCUGCCCGUAUCCGGGACAUAAGCGGUGGAAACGCCGUCUAAUUUCCCAUAACAACGAGGGCCGCAUGGUCCAUGUUUGAAAGAUGCGUCGGAUACGGAUGGGCUCGCGAGACAUUAGCUAGUCGGCGUGGUAACGGCACACCGAGGCGACGAUGUCUAGGGGUUCUGAGAGGAAGGCCCCCCACACUGGGACUGAGACACGGCCCAGACUCCUACGGGAGGCAGCAGUGAGGAAUAUUGGUCAAUGGCCGCAGGGCUGAACCAGCCAAGUAGCGUGAGGGAUGACGGCCCUACGGGUCUUAAACCUCUUUUGUUGGGGAGCAAACUGCGCCACUUGUGGUGCAUUGCGAGUACCCUUCGAAUAAGCAUCGGCUAACUCCGUGCC